MicroRNA precursor from Cercocebus atys (sooty mangabey), 76 nucleotides. The record is from Ensembl. Lineage: Eukaryota; Metazoa; Chordata; Mammalia; Primates; Cercopithecidae.
CUGGCCGGUCGUGGGAUCUGGAGGCGUCUGGGGUUAGAAUGUGACCCCAGUCUCCUUUUCCCUCAUCAUCUGCCAG